This 1515-nucleotide long non-coding RNA is filed under the name Chinchilla lanigera (long-tailed chinchilla). RNAcentral's name for it is "lncRNA (ENSCLAG00000026623.1)". Lineage: Eukaryota; Metazoa; Chordata; Mammalia; Rodentia; Chinchillidae. The record is from RNAcentral.
AUAAGCAGGGCACAGAAUACCCCUGAGGCUGACUGCCCAGCCUGUUGCUUUUUCACUUUAGGAAAACAACGUCCGUUCUCAUUCCCACGGGCACUCUGCGCGCACACCUUUGUUAUUCUGGGGAAUCGGCUUCUGCUGUGAUGACCUGGCAAGUCUGGGUUCGGAUCCACACCGUCUUCCACGUGGCUUCGGCUGUCCUGGGCAAAGAGCCUUCCUCUCUGGAUCACACACCCGAGCUCCGAGCAGCCAGGCGUCCCACUCCUGUGUCCUCAGGCACACUUAUGCAAUCAUCCUUGCCACUUUCUGAAGCACUUCUGGAAGUCCUCUUUCCAGAGUGUCUCUCUGAGGCACGAUGAAAGAUCCAUGGACUUUGCAGCCAAGCACCAUUCAAUGGAAAGGCGGGCUGGCAAGCCACGGCAGUGUGUCCUCAUGCACAUCGCAGGCCGGACGUCGCACCGUGACUUUCUGCUCCUCACCAAACUCAGAACGGCCGUGGGAAGUGAACGUUCCCAAUCCAUCAGGACAUCAAGGCAGCCACAGCAGCACAGCCGAACACACUGAGAGGGCUCCGGGGCCGCUUCCCCAAGGGGCAGGAAGGAAGAGCUGUGCCUCUAGAUUCCUGCUCUGGCAGAGUGAGCCCACACACGUUUCAUACCCACACAACCACGGAGAAGUGGCACCUAGAACAUGCGGACUGUGCCCAAGCGCAGGCUGUCACGUGUACUCAUGUGUGGAGGAUGGGCGUGUGUGCCGGUCUCACCAGUGUGCAUCCACAGAUGCAGCUGAGACAAGACGAUCUCACACCACAAAGUUCACCGUGCAUCCCUCAAAAGCAGCACUGCCUACUUGCCUUCCUUCCUCUCUGCUUAAGACCUUAAGAGUGUCAUUCUCAUCUCCUUUUCCAUAAUGCUCUCAUCUGAAGACGUUACAUAAAGACAGUCCUCAAAUGUAUCGUCUCCUGAGAUCCGCGCACGCAGCGGGAAGGCUCACGCGUGCUGCUGUGUGCAUCAAUAGACCUUUCCUUGCUGUUGCUGUGAAACAUUCCACAGGCGGCCUGAGGGUCACAGGUUCUUGUUUCUUAAACUAUUUCAUUGCUGAACAGCAGCUGGGUUGCUCCUAGUUUGAGGCUAUUAACAACAUUUACAUAGAGGCCGUGAACACUUGUGUAGAGGCUUCUGAUUAAUCAGAACAUUUGGGGGGAGGAUAAAUGUCCGGAAAUGCAACUGCUGGAUCAGAUUGUAGUUGCGGGUUUAGUUCUGGAAGAAACCCAUAGAUAUUUUCCAGAAUGUCUGUAUCUACCUUCUCUCUAGUAGUGCAUGAGGAUCCAAUCCCUCUGCACUCUCCCCGGCAGUUUAGUGCAGGGCUUUGGCUUCAUUUCAUUUCUGCUUCCUGACAUACAUGUGGCAGGAAGGAUAGGGAAGGAGUGCUCGGAGGAAAGGGGGAUGUUUCCAGGAUGAUAACAACAAUGCGCUUUUCCCUGUAACAACUUUUAUAGUCACUCUAUUUUGUGAUCAG